Molecule: ribosomal RNA, 491 nt
Filed under: Escherichia coli
Lineage: Bacteria; Pseudomonadati; Pseudomonadota; Gammaproteobacteria; Enterobacterales; Enterobacteriaceae
Description: bacterial SSU rRNA
Rfam family: Bacterial small subunit ribosomal RNA
Source: RNAcentral
AGAGUUUGAUCCUGGCUCAGAUUGAACGCUGGCGGCAGGCCUAACACAUGCAAGUCGAACGGUAACAGGAAGAAGCUUGCUUCUUUGCUGACGAGUGGCGGACGGGUGAGUAAUGUCUGGGAAACUGCCUGAUGGAGGGGGAUAACUACUGGAAACGGUAGCUAAUACCGCAUAACGUCGCAAGACCAAAGAGGGGGACCUUCGGGCCUCUUGCCAUCGGAUGUGCCCAGAUGGGAUUAGCUUGUUGGUGGGGUAACGGCUCACCAAGGCGACGAUCCCUAGCUGGUCUGAGAGGAUGACCAGCCACACUGGAACUGAGACACGGUCCAGACUCCUACGGGAGGCAGCAGUGGGGAAUAUUGCACAAUGGGCGCAAGCCUGAUGCAGCCAUGCCGCGUGUAUGAAGAAGGCCUUCGGGUUGUAAAGUACUUUCAGCGGGGAGGAAGGGAGUAAAGUUAAUACCUUUGCUCAUUGACGUUACCCGCAGAAGA